Molecule: ribosomal RNA, 253 nt
Filed under: uncultured prokaryote
Description: partial 16S ribosomal RNA
Rfam family: Bacterial small subunit ribosomal RNA
Source: RNAcentral
CACGUAGGAGACGAGCGUUACCCGGAUUUACUGGGUGUAAAGCGCGUGCAGGCGGUCUGUUAAGUUGGAUGUGAAAGCUCCCGGCUAAACUGGGAGAGGUCGUUCAAAACUGGCAGGCUAGAGUGUGGUAGAGGGGAGUGGAAUUCCGAGUGUAGCGGUAAAAUGCAUAGAUAUUCGGAAGAACACCAAUGGCGAAGGCGACUUCCUGGACCACAACUGACGCUCAGACGCGAAAGCCAGGGUAGCAAACGGG